Lolium rigidum is the source of this 1071-nucleotide long non-coding RNA. RefSeq lists it as uncharacterized. Lineage: Eukaryota; Viridiplantae; Streptophyta; Magnoliopsida; Poales; Poaceae. The transcript has 3 exons. The record is from RefSeq and is a predicted model, not a curated record.
GACUUACAAGGUAUUUCCCUACUUUUCUUCAAAUCAGACCAUUGUUGAUUUCUUUUACAACCCAGUUGGUUUAGAUUAAUUGCCACAAAAUGAACUUGGACGCAAGUCAUACAUGUUUGGACCUCCUUUCUGUCUUGAUUCUCAAAUAUUUUUCACUGAACGGAUAUCUAAAUUCAGUUUGCCAUUGCUUCAUUCUGACAUGCAUAGUGGUAUAUGUUUCUUGGGUAUGUCUUAUGUUGCUCGUACACUCACAACAUUGCGCCAAAAGGGAAGUUCAUUGCAUUUGUGUCCGGCUAAGCAAAGGCUGAUAGUCCAGGAGAUGAGCUGUUUUAUGAUAUGUAUGACAUACAGACCAGUCAGUGAACUGUUUUAUGAUAUGUAUGACAUACAGACCAGUCAAUGAGCUAUCUCUUGAUAAUUGCUUUGUCUCAACUGUAAGUUUCCGCUUUAUGAGAAUGUAGCGUUUAGGUCUCAUACUGUAAAUGUUCAUGGCAGUUUUAUUCUUUGCCGUGUUAUGUUGCUACUACUCGCUUUGAGAAAACUGUCACAGAAGUUCUGAAUAUGUAUACGUUCCACGUAAUUAGGUGACAACUUGUUGAUAUCUCCUUCAAGACUGUACCUCAGAACAACACGUAAGAUUGGUAUAAUAACUAAAUAAUAAUGAUGGAUUCUAUUUGUACCUACCUACUAGGAAAAAUCUGAUCGUUCUAUAUAAUAGUUCCGUCUGUUUUAACUAAAUUUCAUUUCAUUAGCUAUACUCACUGGAUCUUUGUGAUUCCUUUCUCAUGAUCCAGUGCACUAACUAAAUAUCAAUUUGAUCCAGUGCCAUGGAGUUCUGUUGUCGGUGACUGGUGUCUGCUGAACCAUGUGAUAAGACAAGGCAUCGCUCAUGUCCUGGUCUUGCUCCUUUUUCGGUGCUUCUGAGUCCGCUGAGCUUGGGAGACAUGGUCAAUGCCAGGUGCGCAAGCAUGUUGAUGGUUACCAUCCAGGAUCAUCGGCAAACGUCAAGGAGUAUAGAAGUGUUAUUUGGACUCACCAAAAAAGAUAUGUCCCUUCAACUAUUAUUGUAUG